This 322-nucleotide ribosomal RNA is filed under the name uncultured eukaryote. RNAcentral's name for it is "partial 18S ribosomal RNA". It matches the Rfam family "Eukaryotic small subunit ribosomal RNA", at positions 1470 to 1796 of the family's 1831-position model. The record is from RNAcentral.
CCCUUAGAUGUUCUGGGCCGCACUCGUGCUACACUGAGUGGAUCAGCGGGUCAGGUUGCGCGAAAGUGUUUCCUAAUCUUUAAAUCCGCUCGUGAUGGGGAUUGACGGUUGCAAUUUUCCGUCAUGAACGAGGAAUACCUUGUAAGCGCGGGUCAUCAUCCCGCGCUGAAUACGUCCCUGCCCUUUGUACACACCGCCCGUCGCUCCUACCGAUUGAGUGGUCCGGUGAGGCUUUGGGAUCUGAGCGGAAAGAGCGUUUCGCUGUUUCUGCCCGGAAAACUCAGUCGAACCUUAUCAUUUAGAGGAAGGAGAAGUCGUAACA